RNAcentral lists this signal recognition particle RNA (97 nucleotides) under Actinomycetota bacterium. Its description in RNAcentral is "Actinobacteria bacterium signal recognition particle sRNA small type". It matches the Rfam family "Bacterial small signal recognition particle RNA". From Rfam's summary of the family: The signal recognition particle (SRP) is a universally conserved ribonucleoprotein involved in the co-translational targeting of proteins to membranes. Archaeal SRP consists of a 7S RNA and homologues of the eukaryotic SRP19 and SRP54 proteins. The record is from RNAcentral. Lineage: Bacteria; Bacillati; Actinomycetota.
GCCGACCCCUCGUGCGGCGUCAUCUCGCUGAAUCCCCCCAGGGCCGGAAGGCAGCAAGGGUAAGUGGGCUCUGGCGGGUGCGCGGGGGGUCCCUUUU